UCGAACGGCAGCACGGGAGCAAUCCUGGUGGCGAGUGGCGAACGGGUGAGUAAUACAUCGGAACGUGCCCAGUAGUGGGGGAUAGCCCGGCGAAAGCCGGAUUAAUACCGCAUACGACCUACGGGUGAAAGCGGGGGACCGCAAGACCUCGCGCUAUUGGAGCGGCCGAUGUCGGAUUAGCUAGUUGGUGGGGUAAAGGCUUACCAAGGCUACGAUCCGUAGCUGGUCUGAGAGGACGACCAGCCACACUGGGACUGAGACACGGCCCAGACUCCUACGGGAGGCAGCAGUGGGGAAUUUUGGACAAUGGGCGCAAGCCUGAUCCAGCCAUGCCGCGUGCGGGAAGAAGGCCUUCGGGUUGUAAACCGCUUUUGUCAGGGAAGAAACGGUCUGGGCUAAUACCCCGGACUAAUGACGGUACCUGAAGAAUAAGCACCGGCUAACUACGUGCCAGCAGCCGCGGUAAUACGUAGGGUGCAAGCGUUA
This 486-nucleotide ribosomal RNA is filed under the name uncultured bacterium. RNAcentral describes it as "bacterial SSU rRNA". It matches the Rfam family "Bacterial small subunit ribosomal RNA", at positions 62 to 543 of the family's 1533-position model. The record is from RNAcentral.